UUUUCCGUAGGUGAACCUGCGGAAGGAUCA
RNAcentral lists this ribosomal RNA (30 nucleotides) under uncultured Marssonina. Its description in RNAcentral is "partial 18S ribosomal RNA". The record is from RNAcentral. Lineage: Eukaryota; Fungi; Ascomycota; Leotiomycetes; Helotiales; Dermateaceae.